RNAcentral lists this ribosomal RNA (442 nucleotides) under uncultured bacterium. RNAcentral's name for it is "partial 16S ribosomal RNA". It matches the Rfam family "Bacterial small subunit ribosomal RNA", at positions 338 to 795 of the family's 1533-position model. The record is from RNAcentral.
CCUACGGGAGGCAGCAGUGGGGAAUAUUGGGCAAUGGGCGCAAGCCUGACCCAGCAAUGCCGCGUGAAGGAAGAAGGCUUUCGGGUUGUAAACUUCUUUGACAGGGGAAGAGCAGAAGACGGUACCCUGAAAACAAGCCACGGCUAACUACGUGCCAGCAGCCGCGGUAAUACGUAGGUGGCAAGCGUUGUCCGGAUUUACUGGGUGUAAAGGGCGUGUAGCCGGGCUGACAAGUCAGAUGUGAAAUUCCGGGGCUCAACCCCGGACCUGCAUUUGAAACUGUUGGUCUUGAGUAUCGGAGAGGCAGGCGGAAUUCCUAGUGUAGCGGUGAAAUGCGUAGAGAUUAGGAGGAACACCAGUGGCGAAGGCGGCCUGCUGGACGACAACUGACGGUGAGGCGCGAAAGCGUGGGGAGCAAACAGGAUUAGAUACCCUUGUAGUC